UAAGGAAUAUUGGUCAAUGGACGCAAGUCUGAACCAGCCAUGCCGCGUGAAGGAUGAAGGUCCUCUGGAUUGUAAACUUCUUUUAUCUGGGACGAAAACGGGAUUUUUAUCUCAAUUGACGGUACCAGAGGAAUAAGCACCGGCUAACUCCGUGCCAGCAGCCGCGGUAAUACGGAGGGUGCAAGCGUUAUCCGGAUUCACUGGGUUUAAAGGGUGCGUAGGUGGGUAUGUAAGUCAGUGGUGAAAUCCCCGAGCUUAACUUGGGAACUGCCAUUGAUACUAUAUAUCUUGAAUACCGUAGAGGUAAGCGGAAUAUGUCAUGUAGCGGUGAAAUGCUUAGAUAUGACAUGGAACACCAAUUGCGAAGGCAGCUUACUAUGCGGUGAUUGACACGGAGGCACGAAAGCGUGGGUA
RNAcentral lists this ribosomal RNA (414 nucleotides) under uncultured bacterium. RNAcentral describes it as "bacterial SSU rRNA". It matches the Rfam family "Bacterial small subunit ribosomal RNA", at positions 355 to 767 of the family's 1533-position model. The record is from RNAcentral.